CUAUUCACAAGGGUAUGACAGUGUGAGCUUAUUCCAUUUAAAGAGCCAGGAGAUUUAUUCACGACAAUCCAUGUCAUCAGAAUAUAAAUAUACAGUUACUUUGCCUCUGAAGGAUUCACAGACCUUUUGUACUUAACAGACUGGACUGAGGAGGAAUCAAAGUCAUCUGAAUUGUAUCUUGGGUAUUCUGAGCUUCUGGAACAAACCACAUGAAACUCAAGAAGAAGGAAGGCCAAAGUGUGGACACUUCCAUCCUUCUUAGAAGGGGGAACAAAAUACCUAUGGAAGGAGUUACAGAGACAAAGUGUGGAGCAGAGACUGAAGGAAUGACCAUCGAGAGACUGCUUCAUCUGGGGAUCCAUCCCAUAUACAGUCACCAAACCCAGAAACUAUUGUAGAUGGCAACAAGUGCUUGCUGACAGGAGCCUGAUAUAGCUGUCUCCUGAGGCUCUGCCAGUGCCUGACAAAUACAGAGGUGGAUGCUCACAGCCAUUCAUGGGACUGAGCACAGGGUCCCUAAUGAAGGAGCUAGAGAAAAGACCUAAGGAGCUGAAGGGUUUUGCAGCCCCAUAGGAGGGACAACCAUAUAAGCUAAGCAGUACCCCUAGAGCUCCCAGGGACUAAAUCACCAAUUAAAGAAUACACAUGGUGGGACACAUGGCUCUAGCUGCGUAUGUAGCAGAGGAUGGCCUAGUUGGUCAUCAAUGGGAGGAGAGUCCCUUGGUCCUGUGAAGGCUCUAUGUCCCAGUGCAGGGGAAUGCUAGGGCCAGGAAGCAGGAGUGGGUGGGUUGGUGAGGGGGGCAGGGCGGGAAGGGGAUAAGGAGUUUUCUUAGGGGAAACCAGGAAAGGGGAUAACAUUUGAAAUGUAAAUAAAGAAAAUAUCUAAUAAAAAAUGGAAAAAAAGAGUCAUUUGAGACACUUAAUUUGAAGAGCUAUGGAGAAAAGAUUUAAAUGAAACGUGAGAAAGUAAACUGAAAUUUAGUAACAACUUUCUCUCCCCACAGACCUUAACAUAUGUAAUAGAUUUAUAUGUCUUAUUGUAAACACUGUUACAUCUUCCCUCCACCUGCUAGAGGGAGUUGGAGAAUAUGCUUUUAAGAAGAAAGAUAAAUGAACCAAAUGUCACCAAGCCCCAGGGGGAUCAGAGAUGGUGAAACAAGAGGUUCAGUGUUCUGAUUUCCUUUUCUAAUGCAUGUAGUGAGAUAACUUUCAACUAAUCUCUGAAACCACACAGCUGAGUCUGCCCUCUGCCUAGGCUAAGAAAUAUUUGCCCCAAAUGAAUGAAGCAGAUGAGUGAAUAAUCACCCUCACAUUUUAGUUAUAUGAAUAGCUUGAGAGGAAUGAUAUGAGUAGAUACUGUAUUAUAACUGUAUUUUAACUGUAUUUUAAAGAACUGUAUACAAUGAUAUUUAUGUAUAUUUUUUAUUAUUUCCAAGCUAGAUUCUCUUAAGUGAUGAUUCUAAAUGGUGUAGCACGUUGUCUUAGGAUUUUACUGCUGUGAACAGACACCAUGACCAAGGCGGUCUUAAAGGCUGGUUCACAGGUUCAGAGGUUCAGUACAUUAUUAUUAAGGCAGGAGCAUGGCAGCAUCCAGGCAGGCAUAGUGCAGGAGGACGUGAAUGUUCUACUUCUUCAUCUGAAGGCUGCUAACAGAAGACUGGUUUCCAGGAAGCUAGGAUGAGGAUAUUAAGGCUACAACGUUCUAAUAGUGCCACUCCCUGGGCCAAACAUAUACAAACCAUUGUACACUUUGAUGCCAUUUUUUCCCCCCUAGGUGACUCAAACAAUCAACUACCAUCAAGGACUCUUGAGCUUCAAGGCACUGUAGUUCUGGUGACUUUGUGGGUUUUACAUAUGGAUAUAGAAAUAGAAUGUACUUGAAAAUCAGGUAGAUUUACCACAACCUUGAAUAACAUUGAAUUUGACAAAAGGAAGAAAGCAAGUGAGAAGGACUGAAAUUAACACUUGAAGAAAAGAAGGACUGAGGGGAAGGGAUCUACAGACUUUACAGAUCCUAUUCAACUGAAAACAUUUCUCAGCAUGUAAACUGAGAGAUUGUAGUCAACUCAUGAUAGGUGAAGAAAAGCAGUAACCAAUGAUAAAGACUAAUUCAGUUGAUAAAUCAUCAAUACUUCAGUAAGUAUGUGCAUCAUGAAUUUUAGCUAUCUUUUGAUUAGCAUACUGACUAUGUGACAUAGUUGGCUUAAGAAUACCCCAGAUAUAAGAUACAAUUUGCGAAACACAUGAAACUCAAGAAGAAGGACGACCAAAGUGUGGACACUUUGCCCCUUCUUAGAAUUGGGAACAAAACACCCAUGGAAGCAGUUACAGAGACAAAGGUUGGAGCUGAGACAAAAGGAUGGACCAUCUAGAGACUGCCAUAUCCAGGGAUCCAUCCCAUAAUCAGCCUUCAAAUGCUGACACCAUUGCAUACACUAGCAAGCGUUUGCUGAAAGGACCCUGAUAUAGGUGUCUCUUGUGAGACUAGGCUGGGGCCUAGCAAACACAGAAGUGGAUGCUCACAGUCAGCUAUUGGAUGGAUCACAGGGCUCCCAAUGGAGGAGCUAGAGAAAGUACCCAAGGAGCCAAAGAGAUCUGCAACCCUAUAAGUGGAACAACAUUAUGAACUAACCAGUACCCCGGAGCUCUUGACUCUAGCUGCAUAUGUAUCAGAAGAUGGCCUGGUCGGCCAUGAGUGGAAAGAGAGGCCCAUUGGUCAUGCAAACUUUAUAUGCCUCAGUACAGGGGAACGCCAGGGCCAAGAAGUGGGAGUGGGUGGGUAGGAGAGUGGGUGGGGGUAUGGGGGACUUUUGGGAUAGCACUGGAAAUGUAAAUGAAGAAAAUACCUAAUUAAAAAAUAAAAAGAAUCGGUGGUUGUAAGCAACGUCAUUGGAGAUUACCUUGAUAAAUGGGACUAAGAAAGUGCUAGUUCUGUUUAACCCAGGAGGUCUCUUAGUGAUUGUGUUUCAAAUACUCAGGCUAGGUCAUGCUUGCUUCUCAGUUUUGUGUUCUGUGCAGACACUGGGAAAUGUUAUUUAAAGAACGUGUUUUUGAUAGCCAGGAGAUAACUAGAUUUGGGAAGGAGCAGAUUUAGGGUUGUAAAUUAGAAGAAUGACAUAACAUUUUAUGAAAAUAUUAAGUCUUUAAUGCGCUUUCUACAUUUGUAAUUUCUCAAAGAGGAAUGCUGUAAAGAGAGUAAGUCUAGCUAAGAUAUAGAAAUGCUUUUAUAUUAUAGUAAAUCAGCUUUUUUUGAGUAUAUGUAGUGUUUUAUAACAUACUGAAUUAUACUCAAUUGGGACAUAUUUGUAGGCCCACUCACAUAUCUGUGUUUAUUUCUCCAUCCACACAGGUAUUUAUUUACAAUUCAUUAAAAUAUAAAAUGUUUUAAGGGGCUCAAUAUAAAAAUAAGUGCAUGCUGAAAUGUAUUUUAUAGUAAUUACACUUGGUAGUGAUUUAAUAUGCGAAUCUUGUUUUCCUAAUUACAGUAUUUCAAUAGAUCCUGAUUGAUACUGUCUGCCUCGUGUGCAUAAAGGGCACUGUUAGGACAUUGCCUCUUUAUUUAGUUUCCAAUAAAUCCAUAUGCUGUAAUGCAAAAUUCUAGUUUUUCAAAAACUUUCUAUUAAUAUGCAUGACAUUCCUUUGCCUGUUUCCAAGCAUGGACUCUGGCUAAUGUAAGGUAUCCGUAUCAUCAGAGCAUAAUCUCCUUCCUGCUCAUCCAGAUCUGCUCAGACACUCAGUUCUUUCACCUACACGUACACUUUCCCCAUCUUCAGCCAUUGUGAACUCUAUCUGUUUGCCCACAAAUGAUUCCUUUUUGCAUUUUAACAGAGUAUUCAUUCAAGAAAAUUCUCAGUUCCAAAUUUGUUGUUUAAAAAAUCAGCUAUAUGUAUUUAUUUAUGCCUAUAUAAAUGGUAUACCAAGAGUUUCUUUCUAUCAUUUGUUCACCCAUUUAACCUGGUUUAUGGGGACUUACUGCAUUCUGUAUUCUUAUUUUAUAAAACCAUUGUGAAUCUGACACAUUUCCGAUCUGACCACUACAGCAAUCCUUUGACUCCUCAUACAUGAAGUUAAAGUCUUGUGUAAAAUGUAAAACCUAUAUUUAAAAUCAGUGUCCAGGUGUUUUAGUUUUUGUUCAUAGUCACAUAAGGGCAUGUGAACACAAUUGAACCAAUUAUGAAAUCACAAGUCACUCUAGUGGUGAUGAAAAAGAGGUUAGACAAUAAUGUCAUCAGUUUCUCUAAGUACAGACAUUCCAUCAGCCUUAGGUAAAGGGUAAGUAUUUCUAGGCAUCCAGACUUCCUUAAUGGCUGUCAGGUGUGCACUGAAAAUUUGGUACUCCCUCAGGGAGGUGGUAACAAUCCAUCAAGGUUAAAACUAGUAUGCCUUUCAAGACACAUAGAUCAUCUGGCAUCAUUGUCAGCUUGGUGUCCUGUCAGAUGGACACUGUGGAUUCUAAGGAUUUCACAAAGCUUUGCUUGUACAUGGCGUUCAUAGAUGAACACAUGGGUUUUACAUCGCCAUCAAACCUCUCCACCAUUUUAUUCUAAACAGAAUAACUGAACACUUACAUUAGGGAUAAAAUAAUAUCAUACUCUUAUGGAAAAAAGACUAAAGACACUUAAAAAAAUACAGCAUAAAAAUUUCCCCAAUGUGAAGGGGCUGCCCAUAUCUUUGGAGAAGUCGGUCUAUACUAACUAAACCUUAAAAUGCAUUUUAAUGGUCAUGUGCUUCUCUGUAACUCAGAAGACUUUCCUGUUUUUUUUUUUUUUUCUAGAACCUGUGUCACAUUUACAAUGCUUCUCAUGGUGGGAGAGAGAAGAGAGGGGAUAUAGUAAUAUCAUAAGAAUUAGAGAAAUAGAAAAAUAGGAAUCGGUUAUCAAAUUUACUCUUACACAAAACAUUCCAUAGCUAUAUCAUACACUGGUAGAAAUCUUUAUUAUUUUUUUUUCUGGUUCUUUUUUUUUAAUUAGGUAUUUUCCUCGUUUACAUUUUCAAUGCUAUCCCAAAGGUCCCCCAUACCCAUCCCCCCAAUCCCCUACCCAC
Molecule: long non-coding RNA, 5043 nt
Filed under: Mus musculus (house mouse)
Lineage: Eukaryota; Metazoa; Chordata; Mammalia; Rodentia; Muridae
Description: predicted gene, 34923
Source: RNAcentral